GGGCAUGUGAGCCCUUUCUCCAAGGAGACAAGGAACUCUUCUAAGGCCUUAUGUUUAGUCUGGAGGUAGUGUGAUAGCUGGAGGGCAGGGUUCAGGCUCUGGGCUCGUUUGUGCUUCCUUUUUUGGGAGUUAAUCAGCUCACCUCCUCUUCUGGCAGUGCCAUUGACUUCUUCUCUGCUCUUGAUUUUUACCUUUUUCUUUGCUUAUUUUUUUUCUUUAGCCACUUUUAUUUGCUUUUGUUUUCUCUUUUUUCUUUAACAUGUGUUCAUUACUUAUUGUUCAACUAUUUUUGCACUUCCUACAGUGAGCAUAGCUGUUACUUAGCAGGGUGUGGUCUUAUGCAUGAUUAGUAUGUGGAGAUGGAGAUGGUGAUGCUAUUAUUAGCACUGUCAGUGUAGUUAGCAAGUCAGCAUGAUGCAGGACUUCAGGGCCAUAGCUACCAGGGGUCUCAGAGCAGUCCAUCCCAAGGAACCAGGCUGAGUACCUUCCUUGAGUUGAAGAUAGUCCAUCAUACCUGACUGGGACUGGAUGGGCUGGUGAUAGCAUAUGGUUAAGAAGCACAAGCCCACUACUCUCCAGCCUCCUUGGACUUUUCCAGAAGUUGAACACACUGAAGACCUUAAACUAGCCAGGUAUACUGCGGUACCGGAGGUGACAGGUGGGGAGGAUGCCCUCUAGUUAUCAUGGGAACUUGAGGGGAACAGAUGUAUUCUGGCAACUUCUGCACCGCUCGCACCCGCGCCUGCUGAGAGAGGGCUGUUCUGCUUUGUCAAGUCGUGCACCCUGCUGUGCAGCUCUGCCACCAGAAAGACAUCUUACACAGAAACUUGAGCCAAAGCACCUUCUUGUGGACACCCAAGCCUGUCCACCUCCAGCUAGCCAAAUGGCCCUGCUUCUGAGAAACGGCCCUGCUGCCUCCAGCCUCAACACCAGAGGUGGAAACAAGAGCCCCUGACAGAGUGCUCGGUCAGCUAUUACUGGGUUCUCUUGGGGUCGCAGAAGCAGUCUGGAUGCGAGGUUGCCAAAGCCAGGGAAGACGUCGGCCAAGCACUAGGCGUAUGGACAAGAACAGUGCCCCCGGUUUGUUGCUUCCCUAGCAGCUGAUCGUAGCUGCACGGGGAGGGAAAAGCCAGACAUGCCAAGCCCCGCCCGACAGUCUUGGAGGCUGUCCUGUGGGAGGUACCUGCUCCUCCCCCUCAAAGUUCUGAGGGAAGCAGACCACCAUGAUCUGGUGAUGGUGAUGUUCCUGGUGACGGAUCCAGUGACUGGAGCCAACGGGAAAGCCCUGAGAUUGAAUCCAGUUCUGUUUCGCACUGGCCACCAACCUUACUGCUUCCUUAGCUAAUGCUCCUGAGUUGGAGGCGAUGAGGUGGUUUGUUUGAGACACACGUCCGCCAUCCCCUGGGGCUGCCAGCGCCUGAGAAUAAACUGGGUUUUUCUUUGCACCAAUACUUGCAUCUUGAGUUAAUUGGUCUUUUGAGAAUAAGCAGCAAACCUUGGCAUUUAGCAACAAGAAAACCCCCUGUCAUCUGGGACUUUGUAAACUUGUCAUUCUUUUCUGAUAUUCUUCCCAACAAAGCAAGUCAUAACUGGUUUUGUGAUCAUAAAUUAUUUUCUAAAGAUA
Molecule: long non-coding RNA, 1624 nt
Organism: Erinaceus europaeus (western European hedgehog)
Lineage: Eukaryota; Metazoa; Chordata; Mammalia; Eulipotyphla; Erinaceidae
Exons: 3
Source: RefSeq, a predicted model, not a curated record